Molecule: long non-coding RNA, 304 nt
Organism: Sander lucioperca (pikeperch)
Lineage: Eukaryota; Metazoa; Chordata; Actinopteri; Perciformes; Percidae
Exons: 4
Source: RefSeq, a predicted model, not a curated record
AAAGAGAGUUAGGGCAAGGGUCAAAAAAACUGCAAACCGGGUGUAAACAGCUGUUUUUACACGCCUCCCCCUGCUGAUUUUGAGUGAUUAUUGUGAAUGCUCUGAUUAAUACAUGUAAACAAAUAAUGCUUUGUUUUAAUGACCUAGCCUUGUCCAAUGUGCUCCAGGCUCUCUGGAUUUUUGAUGCGUUUGGGACUUGUCCGCUCCCCCUGGCCCGCCGGAACAGCACCCUUUCUGUGUUCCAGGACCUCCUGAUUUACAAAUGAAGGUCUGACUACUCUGCCAAACUUCACACAUUAAUGUA